AGCAAAGCCGCGAGGUAGAGCAACUCUCAAAAAAACAAUCUCAGUUCAGACUGCAGGCUGCAACUCGCCUGCACGAAGUCGGAAUUGCUAGUAAUCGUAGGUCAGCAUACUACGGUGAAUACGUUCCCGGGCCUUGUACACACCGCCCGUCAAACCAUGAGAGUUGGCAACACCCGAAGUCGGUAGUCUAACCGCAAGGAGGACGCCGCCGAAGGUGGGGUUGAUGAUUAGGGUUAAGUCGUAACAAGGUAUC
Molecule: ribosomal RNA, 253 nt
Filed under: uncultured bacterium
Lineage: Bacteria
Description: partial 16S ribosomal RNA
Rfam family: Bacterial small subunit ribosomal RNA
Source: RNAcentral